Molecule: transfer RNA, 77 nt
Filed under: Variovorax boronicumulans
Lineage: Bacteria; Pseudomonadati; Pseudomonadota; Betaproteobacteria; Burkholderiales; Comamonadaceae
Description: tRNA-Met
Rfam family: tRNA
About the family: Transfer RNA (tRNA) molecules are approximately 80 nucleotides in length. Their secondary structure includes four short double-helical elements and three loops (D, anti-codon, and T loops).
Source: RNAcentral
CGUGGUGUAGCUCAGCCAGGUAGAGCGUCCGGCUCAUUCCCGGGAUGUCGUUGGAUCGAAGCCAACCGCCGCAACCA